RNAcentral lists this ribosomal RNA (571 nucleotides) under uncultured bacterium. RNAcentral describes it as "partial 16S ribosomal RNA". It matches the Rfam family "Bacterial small subunit ribosomal RNA", at positions 355 to 914 of the family's 1533-position model. The record is from RNAcentral.
UGGGGAAUAUUGCACAAUGGGCGCAAGCCUGAUGCAGCCAUGCCGCGUGUGUGAAGAAGGCCUUCGGGUUGUAAAGCACUUUCAGCGAGGAGGAAGGUGGUGAGCUUAAUACGCUCAUCAAUUGACGUUACUCGCAGAAGAAGCACCGGCUAACUCCGUGCCAGCAGCCGCGGUAAUACGGAGGGUGCAAGCGUUAAUCGGAAUUACUGGGCGUAAAGCGCACGCAGGCGGUUUGUUAAGUCAGAUGUGAAAUCCCCGGGCUCAACCUGGGAACUGCAUUUGAAACUGGCAAGCUAGAGUCUCGUAGAGGGGGGUAGAAUUCCAGGUGUAGCGGUGAAAUGCGUAGAGAUCUGGAGGAAUACCGGUGGCGAAGGCGGCCCCCCUGGACGAAGACUGACGCUCAGGUGCGAAAGCGUGGGGCAGCAAACAGGAUUAGAUACCCUGGUAGUCCAGCGCUGUAAACGAUGUCGAUUUGGAGGUUGUGCCCUUGAGGCGUGGCUUCCGGAGCUAACGCGUUAAAUCGACCGCCUGGGGGAGUACGGCCGCAAGGUUAAAACUCAAAUGAAUUGGC